GGUUCAUUAGUGUAGUGGUGAACACACUAGCUUGUCACGCUAGGAACACGGGUUCAAUUCCCGUAUGAACCG
This 72-nucleotide transfer RNA is filed under the name Chloroflexota bacterium. RNAcentral describes it as "tRNA-Asp". It matches the Rfam family "tRNA". Rfam says of the family: Transfer RNA (tRNA) molecules are approximately 80 nucleotides in length. Their secondary structure includes four short double-helical elements and three loops (D, anti-codon, and T loops). Lineage: Bacteria; Bacillati; Chloroflexota. The record is from RNAcentral.